AUUGAACGCUGGCGGCAUGCUUUACACAUGCAAGUCGGACGGCAGCACAGAGAAGCUUGCUUCUUGGGUGGCGAGUGGCGAACGGGUGAGUAACAUAUCGGAACGUACCGAGCAGUGGGGGAUAACUAAUCGAAAGAUUAGCUAAUACCGCAUAUCUUCUGAGGAAGAAAGCAGGGGACCAUUUGGCCUUGCGCUGUUUGAGCGGCCGAUAUCUGAUUAGCUAGUUGGUGGGGUAAAGGCCUACCAAGGCGACGAUCAGUAGCGGGUCUGAGAGGAUGAUCCGCCACACUGGGACUGAGACACGGCCCAGACUCCUACGGGAGGCAGCAGUGGGGAAUUUUGGACAAUGGGCGCAAGCCUGAUCCAGCCAUGCCGCGUGUCUGAAGAAGGCCUUCGGGUUGUAAAGGACUUUUGUCAGGGAAGAAAAGGGCGGGGUUAAUACCCCUGUCUGAUG
RNAcentral lists this ribosomal RNA (454 nucleotides) under Neisseria sicca. RNAcentral's name for it is "bacterial SSU rRNA". It matches the Rfam family "Bacterial small subunit ribosomal RNA", at positions 30 to 484 of the family's 1533-position model. Lineage: Bacteria; Pseudomonadati; Pseudomonadota; Betaproteobacteria; Neisseriales; Neisseriaceae. The record is from RNAcentral.